AACGAACGCUGGCGGCAUGCCUAACACAUGCAAGUCGAACGAGACCUUCGGGUCUAGUGGCGCGCGGGUGCGUAACGCGUGGGAACCUGCCUUUAGGUUCGGAAUAACUCAGAGAAAUUUGAGCUAAUACCGGAUGAUGUCUUCGGACCAAAGAUUUAUCGCCUUUAGAUGGGCCCGCGUUGGAUUAGCUAGUUGGUGGGGUAAAGGCCUACCAAGGCGACGAUCCAUAGCUGGUCUGAGAGGAUGAUCAGCCACACUGGGACUGAGACACGGCCCAGACUCCUACGGGAGGCAGCAGUGGGUAAUAUUGGACAAUGGGCGAAAGCCUGAUCCAGCAAUGCCGCGUGAGUGAUGAAGGCCUUAGGGUUGUAAAGCUCUUUUACCCGAGAUGAUAAUGACAGUAUCGGGAGAAUAAGCUCCGGCUAACUCCGUG
RNAcentral lists this ribosomal RNA (433 nucleotides) under uncultured bacterium. RNAcentral's name for it is "partial 16S ribosomal RNA". It matches the Rfam family "Bacterial small subunit ribosomal RNA", at positions 29 to 507 of the family's 1533-position model. The record is from RNAcentral.